AGGAUGUUUGCUUGCAGCACAGCGGAACAGGAAGUGAAGAACGAGGAAGGCUGGUGUUGCCAUGAUGCUUUUCUCUGUCCACUUCUCUACCCCCAAGUCAUCAGACGGUGCCCCCAACACUCAAGGUGAAAUGGAGCUAUUUUGAGAAAAGGGGUGGCUCCUUACAGCUUGACAGCUGUUUGUGCAACUGUCACAUAAUGCCACAGGUGGGGGAGAUUUCUGAGAAAAGAGCCGUAAUUAACUUCUACAGUUCUGAAGGAUGGGAGGCCCAAGGCCACUGGACCACGUCUGACAGGAAGACGACCUCACCAGGCAGGAGCAGGAAGCAUUUAGGAGAAAAAAAUCUGCCCUCCCACCAACUGUGUGACUUCUUGUGAAGUCUCCAUGCACUUCAGUUUCACCUCCCUGAGACAUGGAUAACGGUGUUCUCUGAGAAACUUCGCAAACCAAAACACUGAAAAGCAAAACAAUGCUUCGAGAAACGACCUGCCCAGGACGACAAUGAAUAUUUUAAUCAUAGGAUUUGCAUAUGUUGUGAUAAAGAUGAAUUACUACCAACACCAGGGGUUAAGGAUGACUGAGAUCUAGACUUGAAAACAAAAUCUGCCAAAAAAUGUUGUGAUUUUAAGUUCAUUAGCUAAGUUUAAAAAGUGUCAGUUAACAAUGAUAUGGAGUACCCAGUUAUACUGCUGCAUCGUUUUAAUUUUUAAUUAUUAUUGUAUGUUAUGUGUAUGGGUGCUUUGCUUGCAUGCAUGCCUGUGCACCAUGUGCACACUUUGUCAGUGGAGUCCAGAGAGGGCAUCAGAUACCCUAGGACUGGAGUUGGCUGGGAGCCACCACAUGGGCACUGGGAACUGAACCCAGGUCCUCUGGGAAAGCGCCAAGUGCUCUAACUACUGAGCAGUCUCCAGCCCCAUUUUGAUGCAUCCUGAUGUGGUAAACAGGGCACCACAGUUUGGCACAACACAAGGGUAGAACUGAGUCCUCUAAGAACCAUUUCCAUGUUCUGGGUUUCGUUUCUUGAUAUUCUGAGGAUCAGAGGGCUAAUAGACUCUCACACACACAUUUCUUCUGCCAGUCUCUUGGUUCCAGAGUCUCGGUGAGGGAGCCUGAACUUAGCUGCUGGUCCGCCACCAUCUGUUUUCUAAUAACCCUCACUGGGCCGGAGAUGUCGUUCAGUGGUCCCUUAACCAUCAGUCUCCCAGGAACUGAAGUCCCCUGGCAAGCAGCCUCAGAGGAGAGAGGGAGAGAGACAGAGCGCACAGAGACAGAGGGUGUCUGAAGACCUGUGGCCUCAGCGGGGACCACAGGAGCCAUCAGAAGCUGGAAGAGUGGAGGAGGGAUCGUUUCUACAGCCUUCAGAGGGAGCACACCACCCUGCUCUCCUUAGCACUUAGCACUCCCAGAGCCAGGAGAGAGUACAGUUCAGGUUUUUUAAGCAGCUGGGCUGUUUUAAUCUGUUAGAGUGCUAAGAUCCGGAGGGGUGGGGGCGGAAAGCGAGCUGAAGAGAGGUCACACAGUGUGACUCUCCAAGUUGGUGUAGAGGACAUAGACACCCCCGGAUCUGCCGCCCCCACCACACGCCAAAGAGCAGUCCAUCCUCUGGGAAGCAGAAUGCAAGCUCUGUAGACAAAGGACCAUGUUGUUUGUUUCACAGUGUGCCUGAUGCAGUCAUCAGCCCUUGACCCUGGAGGUGAUAAAUGACUAAUGUUUGAGUGAAGGGUUAAAUAAGCAGAGGAGAGACAGCACGGGCCUCCCACGUGCUAAAUCACCAGCUGCUGUCCAGGACCCCGAGGUCUCUGACUCCUUGGGUGCUGAACCAGGACCACACUGAAACGCUGAUGGGAGCAGGGGUGCUUUCCAGGGAGGCCCGUGAUGUUGAGGCUUAGGAGCGCAAAAACACAAAGUCCACCCUGCAGAGGAGACCAACAGAAGGAGGAGCAGCGGCCUCACCUCUGUCCCCAGGGCUGGCUAACAGGAAGUGUCUGCCCACCUCCCCGUUGGCCAAUGCCACCAUCCGUGGUCCCUCCACCUGCAGCCACUAGUCUGCCAGCCACGUCAGCUGUUAGUCGGUAUCAACCACUCAAGGGUGGAAGAAGUUUCUUCCUCCUGGGCCCACUGAAGGAAGGGGAAGGACAGGUGCAGCCGCCUUUGAGAAAGGGCUUUCCCCUGCCUUGCCCACACACCACCACCUCCCAGCAGGGUGGCUGUGAGUUCCUCAGGGCAGAUGAUAAGGAUGGGUGAUCCGAUCAAUAAAGUGAGGCAUGAAAUACAAUAGAAGACUCAUUGCCCUUAAAGAGAGGGAGUUCUGACCCUGCCACUGAACCUUGAGAAUACUUUGCUAAGUGGGAGAAGCCAGCCCCACUAAGAGUGGAUCGGCUCAGUGCACCCACACAGGACACCUGGAGGGGUCUAACUCAGAGAAGGAAAGCAGUGGCUGCCAGGGACUAGGGAGAUUAAACUGCAGAGUUGUUUAAUGGGAUAGAGCUUCAGUUCUGUAGAUGGAUGAUGUUGGUGAGUGUACUCUCAGCCGUUAAGACAAUCAUCCUACGUUACGGGAUCUCGCUGCCAUUUUCAGGACAAUUGCCGGGCACCUGUAACCUCAGCACUGGGGAGGCGGAAGCUGGGAACUCAAGAUGACGAUAGAUGCGUUGGGGCUGGGUGGGGAGUUUCUCCUCAAUAAAUACCUAAAUAAACAGUCAACAAAUGGCUGAAACUCGCUUUCA
Molecule: non-coding RNA, 2726 nt
Organism: Myodes glareolus (Bank vole)
Lineage: Eukaryota; Metazoa; Chordata; Mammalia; Rodentia; Cricetidae
Source: RefSeq, a predicted model, not a curated record